GCUCGUGUAGCUUACAUAAAAGCAUAACACUGAAGAUGUUAAGAUGAGUCCUAAUAAGGCUCCACAGGCA
This 70-nucleotide transfer RNA is filed under the name Heteromormyrus longilateralis. Its description in RNAcentral is "Hippopotamyrus longilateralis tRNA-Phe". It matches the Rfam family "tRNA". From Rfam's summary of the family: Transfer RNA (tRNA) molecules are approximately 80 nucleotides in length. Their secondary structure includes four short double-helical elements and three loops (D, anti-codon, and T loops). The record is from RNAcentral. Lineage: Eukaryota; Metazoa; Chordata; Actinopteri; Osteoglossiformes; Mormyridae.